GAUGAACGCUGGCGGCGUGCCUAAUACAUGCAAGUCGAGCGAACAGACGAGGAGCUUGCUUCUCUGACGUUAGCGGCGGACGGGUGAGUAACACGUGGAUAACCUACCUAUUAGACUGGGAUAACUUCGGGAAACCGGAGCUAAUACCGGAUAAUAUAUUGAACCGCAUGGUUCAAUAGUGAAAGACGGUUUUGCUGUCACUUAUAGAUGGAUCCGCGCCGCAUUAGCUAGUUGGUAAGGUAACGGCUUACCAAGGCAACGAUGCGUAGCCGACCUGAGAGGGUGAUCGGCCACACUGGAACUGAGACACGGUCCAGACUCCUACGGGAGGCAGCAGUAGGGAAUCUUCCGCAAUGGGCGAAAGCCUGACGGAGCAACGCCGCGUGAGUGAUGAAGGUCUUCGGAUCGUAAAACUCUGUUAUUAGGGAAGAACAAAUGUGUAAGUAACUAUGCACGUCUUGACGGUACCUAAUCAGAAAGCCACGGCUAACUACGUG
This 497-nucleotide ribosomal RNA is filed under the name uncultured bacterium. Its description in RNAcentral is "partial 16S ribosomal RNA". It matches the Rfam family "Bacterial small subunit ribosomal RNA", at positions 28 to 507 of the family's 1533-position model. The record is from RNAcentral.